ACGAAGGGGGCUAGCGUUGUUCGGAAUUACUGGGCGUAAAGCGCGCGCAGGCGGUUCUCCAAGUCAGUGGUGAAAGCCCGGAGCUCAACUCCGGAAUUGCCAUUGAAACUGUUGAACUUGAGGACGAGAGAGGUGAGUGGAAUUCCCAGUGUAGAGGUGAAAUUCGUAGAUAUUGGGAAGAACACCGGUGGCGAAGGCGGGUCUCUGGGCAGUAACUGACGCUGAGGAGCGAAAGCGUGGGGAGCGAACAGGA
This 253-nucleotide ribosomal RNA is filed under the name uncultured prokaryote. RNAcentral describes it as "partial 16S ribosomal RNA". It matches the Rfam family "Bacterial small subunit ribosomal RNA", at positions 525 to 777 of the family's 1533-position model. The record is from RNAcentral.